Molecule: ribosomal RNA, 321 nt
Filed under: uncultured bacterium
Lineage: Bacteria
Description: bacterial SSU rRNA
Rfam family: Bacterial small subunit ribosomal RNA
Source: RNAcentral
GGGGGAAANCCCUGAUGCAGCAACGCCGCGUGAGUGAUGAAGGUUUUCGGAUCGUAAAACUCUGUCUUUGGGGAAGAUAAUGACGGUACCCAAGGAGGAAGCCACGGCUAACUACGUGCCAGCAGCCGCGGUAAUACGUAGGUGGCGAGCGUUAUCCGGAUUUACUGGGCGUAAAGGGAGCGUAGGCGGAUGAUUAAGUGGGAUGUGAAAUACCCGGGCUCAACUUGGGUGCUGCAUUCCAAACUGGUUAUCUAGAGUGCAGGAGAGGAGAGUGGAAUUCCAGGUGUAGCGGUGAAAUGCGUAGAGAUCUGGAGGAAUACC